This 253-nucleotide ribosomal RNA is filed under the name uncultured bacterium. RNAcentral describes it as "partial 16S ribosomal RNA". It matches the Rfam family "Bacterial small subunit ribosomal RNA", at positions 524 to 776 of the family's 1533-position model. The record is from RNAcentral.
UACGUAGGGGGCUAGCGUUGUCCGGAAUCAUUGGGCGUAAAGCGCGUGUAGGCGGCCCGGUAAGUCCGCUGUGAAAGUCGGGGGCUCAACCCUCGAACGCCGGUGGAUACUGUCGGGCUCGAGUGCGGAAGAGGCGAGUGGAAUUCCUGGUGUAGCGGUGAAAUGCGCAGAUAUCAGGAGGAACACCGAUUGCGAAGGCAGCUCGCUGGGACGUUACUGACGCUGAGACGCGAAAGCGUGGGGAGCAAACAGG